RNAcentral lists this ribosomal RNA (301 nucleotides) under uncultured bacterium. RNAcentral describes it as "partial 16S ribosomal RNA". It matches the Rfam family "Bacterial small subunit ribosomal RNA", at positions 509 to 809 of the family's 1533-position model. The record is from RNAcentral.
CAGCAGCCGCGGUAAUACGAGGGGAGCUAGCGUUGUUCGGAAUUACUGGGCGUAAAGCGCGCGUAGGCGGCUUUUUAAGUCAGAGGUGAAAGCCCGGGGCUCAACCCCGGAAUUGCCUUUGAAACUGGAAAGCUAGAAUCUUGGAGAGGUCAGUGGAAUUCCGAGUGUAGAGGUGAAAUUCGUAGAUAUUCGGAAGAACACCAGUGGCGAAGGCGACUGACUGGACAAGUAUUGACGCUGAGGUGCGAAAGCGUGGGGAGCAAACAGGAUUAGAUACCCCUGUAGCCCUGUCUCUUAUACA